Molecule: unclassified non-coding RNA, 315 nt
Filed under: Hevea brasiliensis (rubber tree)
Lineage: Eukaryota; Viridiplantae; Streptophyta; Magnoliopsida; Malpighiales; Euphorbiaceae
Source: RNAcentral
GCACUCCCCAACGAAUGCCUCACCAAGAUCGCCGCCGACUCCACCGCCGCCCUCUCCUGGGUCAAAUCCAACGUCCAAUGCUACCUACCCAAAACGAAGAUCUCCGCCAUCACCGUCGGCAAUGAAGCCCUCACUAGCAACGACACCGCCCUCGCCGCCGCCCUCCUCCCCGCAAUGCAGGCCGUCGCCGCGGCCGUCGCCGCUCUCAAGCUCGACGUCACCGUCACCACCGCCCACUCAGUCGCUGUUCUCGCCACCUCCUACCCACCUUCCUCCGGCACAUUUAGAAAGGAACUUUUAACCUACCUCUGCCCG